UAUUGAAGAUAUCUAGGUAGUAAUUUAUUACUUUAAAAUAUUAAUAAAAUUUAAUUUUAAUUUUUCAA
RNAcentral lists this transfer RNA (68 nucleotides) under Scarelus sanguineus. Its description in RNAcentral is "tRNA-Phe". Lineage: Eukaryota; Metazoa; Arthropoda; Insecta; Coleoptera; Lycidae. The record is from RNAcentral.